RNAcentral lists this transfer RNA (71 nucleotides) under Pararhodospirillum oryzae. RNAcentral describes it as "Rhodospirillum oryzae tRNA". It matches the Rfam family "tRNA". Rfam says of the family: Transfer RNA (tRNA) molecules are approximately 80 nucleotides in length. Their secondary structure includes four short double-helical elements and three loops (D, anti-codon, and T loops). Lineage: Bacteria; Pseudomonadati; Pseudomonadota; Alphaproteobacteria; Rhodospirillales; Rhodospirillaceae. RNAcentral also lists the same sequence under 1 other name. The record is from Rfam by way of RNAcentral.
GGCCGGAUGGCAGAGGGGUUAUGCAGCGGACUGCAAAUCCGCGUACGUCGGUUCGAGUCCGGCUCCGGCCU